Molecule: long non-coding RNA, 645 nt
Organism: Syngnathoides biaculeatus (alligator pipefish)
Lineage: Eukaryota; Metazoa; Chordata; Actinopteri; Syngnathiformes; Syngnathidae
Exons: 3
Source: RefSeq, a predicted model, not a curated record
CAGCUCCUUCCUAAGAUUGAACGGCCUCAUUAGUGAGCCACCGCUGCAGGUGCGACUACUCAAUACUAUCGGCAACAGGUUGACUCGUGGCUCUCAAACAGGAGUUGAGCUCCUGUUCAACCCCAAAAAACAUUUCAAUACUCAGCUUCCUCUUUUUUUUUUUUUUUUUUUUAAAUUCUAGUCUUUGUAUGAAAUACAAAGCCCACCAUAGUUAGUCUUAAUUUUUCACCCUUCAUUUAGUCAGUGUGGUUAAAAAAAUAAUAAUCUCAAAAACUACUCUGAGCAAAGUGAGGGCUUCCCGGUCCUGAUUCGGCAAUGCUGUCUGAAAACAAACUCCAAGUAUUGUUUGUAAAACAAUGCUGCAUAUGAGUUCCUAUGGGUUGAGGCGGCACAUUCGAUGUCCAAAGAAAUUUGGAGAAAGCACAAAGGAAAGGAGUUACAUGCUGGCACCCAAAAAUGAUCUGGACAUGUGGAGCGAGCAGAAAGAAGAAGAUCGUGUGCAAAGAAAGCUGGACAGCAGGAGCCAGCAGUGCGUGAAAGUAACCACCUUCCGCGGAGAAGACUCUCACACCUCCGUUCAGGACAAUAAUGGCCCCAACAAUGGGCUUCCCACUCUUAUCUCUCACGAUUCCCCGCACACCUUUA